UGGGGAAUAUUGCACAAUGGGCGCAAGCCUGAUGCAGCCAUGCCGCGUGUAUGAAGAAGGCCUUCGGGUUGUAAAGUACUUUCAGCGGGGAGGAAGGGAGCAAAGUUAAUACCUUUGCUCAUUGACGUUACCCGCAGAAGAAGCACCGGCUAACUCCGUGCCAGCAGCCGCGGUAAUACGGAGGGUGCAAGCGUUAAUCGGAAUUACUGGGCGUAAAGAGCACGCAGGCGGUUUGUUAAGUCAGAUGUGAAAUCCUCGGGCUCAACCUGGGAACUGCAUCUGAUACUGGCAAGCUUGAGUCUCGUAGAGGGGGGUAGAAGUCCAGGUGUAGCGGUGAAAUGCGUAGAGAUCUGGAGGAAUACCGGUGGCGAAGGCGGCCCCCUGGACGAAGACUGACGCUCAGGUGCGAAAGCGUGGGGAGCAAACAGG
RNAcentral lists this ribosomal RNA (429 nucleotides) under Chloroflexota bacterium. RNAcentral's name for it is "Chloroflexi bacterium partial 16S ribosomal RNA". It matches the Rfam family "Bacterial small subunit ribosomal RNA", at positions 355 to 776 of the family's 1533-position model. The record is from RNAcentral. Lineage: Bacteria; Bacillati; Chloroflexota.